AAUGACUCUGUGUGAAGUUAUACAACAAUGCCAACAACGGGUUUUAAGAGCCCAUCACGAGGAGACUUGAGAGUGAGCAAGCCACAUGACUGUACUUUAACAGCUGUUUACAAUGACGCAGGUCACAGAAACAAAAUUGAUGAGAAGAUAUGAAUGAAAAAAAAAAAUGAAAAUAUUUAAACAACUAGCUUCAAAAUCACCAAGUUCAGUACGAAUUAUCACUUGACUGUUGGAAGAACACAAAUCUUAGAGCAGACCUAUAGCACACAGCAGGCUCAGCUGCCAGAUUUUAUGUACACACAAGCCAAAAGAAAACAUUCCUUCACAGCUGAAGCAGAAGCCACUCUGUCAAUAAGGAAAGGAUUGGGACACUACAACCCUAAAGUGAAACAACUCUACACCAUUUGAAGUCUAAGUUUAAACAAGAAAAGAAAAUAAAGAAUAACACUUUCAGCCACA
Molecule: long non-coding RNA, 459 nt
Organism: Biomphalaria glabrata
Lineage: Eukaryota; Metazoa; Mollusca; Gastropoda; Planorbidae
Exons: 2
Source: RefSeq, a predicted model, not a curated record